GAUGAACGCUGGCGGCGUGCCUAAUACAUGCAAGUCGAGCGAACAGACGAGGAGCUUGCUCCUCUGACGUUAGCGGCGGACGGGUGAGUAACACGUGGAUAACCUACCUAUAAGACUGGGAUAACUUCGGGAAACAGGAGCUAAUACCGGAUAAUAUUUUGAACCGCAUGGUUCAAUAGUGAAAGACGGUUUUGCUGUCACUUAUAGAUGGAUCCGCGCCGCAUUAGCUAGUUGGUAAGGUAACGGCUUACCAAGGCAACGAUGCGUAGCCGACCUGAGAGGGUGAUCGGCCACACUGGAACUGAGACACGGUCCAGACUCCUACGGGAGGCAGCAGUAGGGAAUCUUCCGCAAUGGGCGAAAGCCUGACGGAGCAACGCCGCGUGAGUGAUGAAGGUCUUCGGAUCGUAAAACUCUGUUAUUAGGGAAGAAAAAAUGUGUAAGUAACUAUGCACGUCUUGACGGUACCUAAUCAGAAAGCCACGGCUAACUACGUG
RNAcentral lists this ribosomal RNA (497 nucleotides) under uncultured bacterium. RNAcentral's name for it is "partial 16S ribosomal RNA". It matches the Rfam family "Bacterial small subunit ribosomal RNA", at positions 28 to 507 of the family's 1533-position model. The record is from RNAcentral.